UAGGGAAUCUUCGGCAAUGGGGGGAACCCUGACCGAGCAACGCCGCGUGAGUGAAGAAGGUUUUCGGAUCGUAAAGCUCUGUUGUUAAGGAAGAACGAGUGUGAGAAUGGAAAGUUCAUGCUGUGACGGUACUUAACCAGAAAGGGACGGCUAACUACGUGCCAGCAGCCGCGGUAAUACGUAGGUCCCGAGCGUUGUCCGGAUUUAUUGGGCGUAAAGCGAGCGCAGGCGGUUAGAAAAGUCUGAAGUGAAAGGCAGUGGCUCAACCAUUGUAGGCUUUGGAAACUGUUUAACUUGAGUGCAGAAGGGGAGAGUGGAAUUCCAUGUGUAGCGGUGAAAUGCGUAGAUAUAUGGAGGAACACCGGUGGCGAAAGCGGCUCUCUGGUCUGUAACUGACGCUGAGGGUCGAAAGCGUGGGGAGCGAACAGG
This 429-nucleotide ribosomal RNA is filed under the name Verrucomicrobiota bacterium. RNAcentral's name for it is "Verrucomicrobia bacterium partial 16S ribosomal RNA". It matches the Rfam family "Bacterial small subunit ribosomal RNA", at positions 355 to 776 of the family's 1533-position model. Lineage: Bacteria; Pseudomonadati; Verrucomicrobiota. The record is from RNAcentral.